Molecule: small nuclear RNA, 108 nt
Organism: Nomascus leucogenys (northern white-cheeked gibbon)
Lineage: Eukaryota; Metazoa; Chordata; Mammalia; Primates; Hylobatidae
Source: Ensembl
GUGCUGACUUCAGUAGCAGGUGUACUAAAAUUAUAAUGACACAGAGGAGAUUAGCAGGGCCCCCUGUGCAGGGAAGAUCCACAGGUUCAUGCCGCAUUCCGUAUUUUU